Olea europaea var. sylvestris is the source of this 2392-nucleotide long non-coding RNA. RefSeq lists it as uncharacterized. The transcript has 2 exons. NCBI's taxonomy places the organism in Eukaryota, Viridiplantae, Streptophyta, Magnoliopsida, Lamiales, Oleaceae. The record is from RefSeq and is a predicted model, not a curated record.
CCUAUCAUAUUUAUAUAUUUUAAUUUGCUUUACUAUAACUUCAUUUGAUAAUUUAAUUUUUGAUAUAGAUUAACAUAAUUGUGGAUAUCUGGAUUAUGGGUUUUGAUUUUCCUUCUCAGUAACAUCAUCCCUUGAUUUUAGGGUUUGUUGCAUCAGUUCAAGAAUAUUUUAUUUUAUUUUUUUUCAUUUUAAUCUUUAAGAAUUGAUAUCAAUUUUCAAUUUCAUUUACAUAUAUCCUUUUAUUGAUAAAAUAUAGGCAAUGGAACCUAAGGUCUGCUUUCCCUUACGAAUAAUUUAUAUACUCUUUUGGUUUACUUAAUAAAUUCCAGUGGAAGUUAUUGUCUGAAAAUAAUCAAAAUCCAGAUAGUUUUGUGAAUAUUGGGGUUUCUUAAUUUGUCAGGUUAUUAGCAUAAAAUAUGUCGUGAUUUUGGUUGUCCAUAUGUAGUUGAUAGACUUUUAAGUUGAAGGAUUGAAAUUUCAAUUGUUUUCCUCUAUCACUCUCUUGUAAGUCUUCUUGAUCCUUUGGAUAACAUGAUCAAUAUUUUGAAAUGUUUCUGCACUGAGAAAUGGUUCAAAGGAGCUUCUGUCAGCCCAUUCAUGGACGAUACUGGGGGUUGAACUAGCUGCCGACUCAUUCGUUUAGCCACUAAGUAGAUUACAGGAUGUUUUAUGCUACUGUGAUUGAAUGAAUGAUGCGGGAGAUAGUUUCAUGUCCCUCUUUCUCUGUGCUUGGACUGAAGGGAGCUCCUCUUGCUGUUGCCUUCAUUUUGUUUUCCUUUGGGCUGAGUCUUGUAUCCAAAAGAUGAUCCCCUUCUGGCAAGAUGCCUUUAUUAUUCACUUAUGGCUCGUUUGGCAAGAUUGAUUGUACAGUAGUGAACAAUAUAUGUAAAAAAAGAAAAUAAAAUCUUGUCCAUUGUAUAUUUAUACCAUCUAAUCUUUUAUACCAUACAUGCUUUUAUUGAAUGUUGAACGGUGAAUUUUGAUGACAUACAGCUGGCUGUUUUUCUUCUGUGUUCGUUCUCACUUUAACGUUUUUAAGAAAAUGUUGCUAAAUCUCGGUAAAUAACCUAAGAUCUCAUCUCUAGUAUCUCUUCGUGACCUUCUGGUUCAAGUAGUUGUUAAUUUCCUAUGGAUAAACCGAACUAAACUUCUAUGGUUAUUAGAGAGAAAAGUCUAACAUGUUUCCUUUUCCAUAUUUCCAUAAAUCAUAGUCUAUUGAUUAGACGUGCUCAAAAUCAUUCUUGUUGCUGUUGAUCAUACGAAAGCUCGACAUCAUGGUCAUACUGUAAGAGGUGAACUCCCCUUGUUUGUUGAAUGUUUGCUUAUGAAGAAAUAGCUUGAAAUUUUGUUGCGGUUUUUUUUCUUCAAUAGUUUUCUAAAUCAAAAUCAGUUGGAAGCUCCUCAUUUGAGUUUAUACUCGACGUUUUACAUUUUUUGAGUUGUUUCUUGGAUUCUUUUAUAAAUUAUUCCUUUGACGCGUAGUUUUGCCACCUUUUCAGUAUUACUUAUAGAAACAGAGUUUUACUUGGGAGUGUUUCUGUUGAUUUUACUUCAAAAUUAUAGCUUAUUCGAGUGCGUAAAACUGUGAACUGCUGCUCGAGCUAAAUGUUUUAAAGAUUCUAUCAGAAAGUUUAAUAUGUGGUUCCAAGUAUAUCAUAUGUAUCCCUACACAGUUUACAGUUUUGGUAAUAAUCUGAUGAUUAUGAUAAUUCAAAUACCUGGUACUGUACAAUUUUCAGCACUUCUUUCACUGUUUUGUCUAUUAAUGUAUCAUAAAACACCAUCUGUUUCUUGCUCUCUCAUUUUUAUUAAAUUGAACAUGCAAGAUUGCCAUUUGGACCUGGAAAUCGCGUACUUUCAAGUGAUAUGUGGAAGCUACAGGGCUGCAGACCAGGGAGGAUCAAGAUCAGCUCGAGAAAUUUAUCGACUGGACUUGACAAAUUUUGAUACCGAGUGUUGAAUUUCAUUAAGUUCGCCUCAUUGGAGUCUUGAUAUGCCAUAAGCAAAGGUAACUCGAUCUCUCUUCUUCCUUUCUCCGACCCCAUGUCGCUACAUGGAAACAUGGCGAGUAAAAAAGGGAUACUGUCAACGCGUUACGACCUCUUAUUUUGAUUUAAUGUUAUAGAAUUAGAAUUUGGUGGUCCCAUUUUUUGUGUACUAUGAUAAAUUGCUGCAAUGGUAGUCAAGUUUAACUCAGUAUUUGUCGGGUGCAUGUGCAGUUUUGCUUAUUUCUGUUCUCACUGAAAUUGACUGUAAAUAAAAUUUAAUUGAUGGCUACAGCUAUUGAUGGUGAAAUUGCUUAGCAGUGUUCGUUUCAGGGAAGUCGUGUUUUCGUUAUUCAGAAUGUAUGGACCAUUUUCUUCUCUAUAAAAUAAAGUGGAAAUCACACCGA